AAGACUUCGAGGUCUUGCCUUCCAAGCUACUUCAAUGGUGUCAUGUCUUCAAGAAAAGUUCCAAGUGUUUUCCUCCUCCUUUACUUGCAUCAUAAGCUUGGCUACCUCCAAGUAGAGCUUUGUUUUAAGGACAUCUUGCCGGUCCAUUGAUUCUUCAUUCACUCAAGGGGGCUUCUUGAGACAACUAACUCCCUUGUUUACCUUCCUUGAACUUCCAAGGCAAGCUCCCAUGUCAACAAGUGCUCCCUUGAGCAAUCCUCCAAUUUGUUUCUUCUUCUUGAUGGGGGUGAGGAGUGACUCAAAGCCUUGUGAACAUCGUAAGACCGGAAGAGGUGACCAAACUUCUUUCUUAUUUUUCUCAUCUCCCCUUACUCUUGCCUCUCCAUAGUAACCCAAAAAGUAGCAUUCAUUCAUGUCAUCCAGAAUUUGAAGGGGAGGAAAGAUUUGGAACUUGAUUUUGUCUCUAAGUACCUUCAUGCUCAUGGUGCCUUUCUUCACAUUAAUCUUGACACCAGCAGUGGCCAUGAAAGCUCUUCUAAAGAUGAUAGGAAGCUCAUUGUCAACCAUGGGGGCUUCCUCCAUGUCUAGGACUAUAAAAUCCACUGGUAUAACAAACCUUGCAACAUUGACAAGCAUAUUCUCCAAGAUUCCUCUAGGAUACCUCACGCUUCUAUCCGCCAACCGGAGAGUGAUUGAAGUUGGUUUCAAAGCUCCUUCAAGACCAAGCUUCUUUAAAGCCGAAUAGGGCAUUAAAUUGAUACUUGCCCCAAGAUCCAUCAAGCAAUUGUCAAAAGUAGUUUCUCCAAUCUUGCUUGGAAUAGUGAAGCUUCCCGGAUCUUUGAGCUUUGGUGGAAGCUUUCUUUGAAUGAUAGCACUCACUUCUUCACAAAGAGCCACUUGCCCAUGUUCUUUGAACUUUUUCUUCUUCAUGCACAUAUCCUUCAAGAACUUAGCAUAAGAUGGGAUUGUCUUCACGGCUUCAAGGAGUGAAAUGUUUAUAUGAACCUUCUUGAACAAAUCAAUCACCUCCCUCAAUUGGCUCUCUUUCUUGAGUUUUUUCUCUUGUUGCCAUACAGCUUGAGGGUAAGGGAGAGACACUUCUUCUUGUUGCACAAUCUUCAAAGGAGGAUUAAAAGUGAUACCUCUUUGGAAUGGUCUAUCGAUUGGAUGAUCAUUGGACACUUCUUUUUCAUGGUUGGCCUUGGAAUUUCAGUUGUUUUUCAUGACCUCAUCUUGUCCUUCAUUAUAAUCCAACACAAUUUUCUCAUGCUUUAAUCUCCUUUCAAAACCCGGUGGCUCUCUUGGAGUUACAACUUCUUCAUUAGUGGGCAUGUACACAUUGUUCUCAACUUGCCUUCCACUUCUCAAAAUGGUGAUGGCCUUGGCUUCAUGCCUUGGAUUGUUGACCACUUGACUUGGAAACACUCCUUGCUUCCUUUGGCUCAACUCACGGGCUAGUUGCCCUAUUUGUACCUCAUGCUUGCUCACACUCUGUUGGAUGACGUUGAUCUUCUCAUCUUGUUUUGUUUGAUUGUUCACAAAGGCGGCCAUCAUUUCUUCAAAGAUCGAUGAAGAACACACCCAAAAUACCAAAACCCCAAAUCCGACUGUGAAUGGCGAAUCUGGAACUCAUGAACACUCGCACUCAAACUCAACCCCAAAAGUCAACAAUGCAAGGUUCUCCAUCUCUCAUGUCGUCAUCUCCACCUAUCUCUGCUUUCUUGCUCGCACUCACUCAAUAAGUUUGGGUCUUCUUUAUCGCUCGCACUCGCUCGCAAGGUUGAAUUGUUCUGGUGAUGCCGAUUGAAAUUACUCAUGAAUGUGUAUUUGAGGUAUUGUAACAUUUUUAGAUCCCCCCAUUUAAGAUGUUCAGAAUGUGGAUAUCGAUGGUUGGAUUUCUUUGGAUGAAUACUUUCACAUUGCUCUUGGAGUCUUGGUACAGUUUGAAACAGUUUUCACUAUAUUUUUUCCCUCAUAAUGUUAUAUUAGCUAUUUUGUUGACUGCAUUCCUAUCACACUUCAUUAUCUCCCUAAUUUUGGAUUUACUCUCAGAACUUUAUUACACUAAGUUCGAAGAUUAACUUAUUUGAAAAGUGGGACUCUGAUUGUUGAUGCUGGUGUGUGAGCAUUUGUGUGAUUAUUUCAGAUAUGAAAGUUAUACAUGAUUUGAGUUGCUAGCUUAAAUUUAUUGUGCAGAUAGCCAGAUAGUAGUAAUAAGAACAAAAAAUAGAAGAAAGAACACAGAAACAAAAACAAAAUUGAUCACCUCUAUAGUUCUAGGGGACCUUCAAAGUGAAAGCCAGUCACUUUAGUGCAUGAGAAAGUACCUUAAAAGAAUAAACUAAUAACAUUCUCGAAAAGUAUCAAGUAUGUAGUGAGUUGAAGCUCCAUUGUUACUGAAACUUAAUACUUCCAGGCCCAUUAUCUUUUUCAUUCAUAUCCUAAUCCCAUAAAGACGUCUUGCACUCAAUAUAUGGUGUAGCAUGUUAACAGAUAUUUUACUAAUAGUACUGAUGCAUUUUUAGAAUGAAAAUGUUGUCUAACUGUAUUCACUAUCUCUGCAGCAAACGCUCUAGCUACCUAAGUAAUGUUACAGAUAGAUUCCUUCAACUUCUUUGAAGAAAUUUACUCAGCUUUCACUUGAUUGUUGUCUCUUUGAUAUAGAAAUGUUCUGAGAGAUCACUUGAUAAUCAUGCCUACUACUCUACUAGUGCAUUCUUUGCAGUUGGAUCAUUAUUUUUCCAUGUGGUUCCUGUAAAAUUAAUCCUCUCAAGUUGGAGCUUGCUAUAUAUUCUAGUAUGCAGGUAUAUUAAUUAACCUCAAUCUGCAAUUGUUAUGUGGAGUAUACGUUGUAUUGGAUUUUUAACUUUUUUGGAGUGUGCCUCUGUAUCCAUACUCUGAAAUCAAGUCACUUCUAGUGUAGGAUACUUCUUGAAACUAGUUCAAAAUGGUUGAUAGCAACGCAUCAUCUGCAAAGGUACAUAGCUGACUCAACUGUUCUGCCAUCUUAGAAGAUCGUAUUGAAUCCAAAAGUAGUACCAUAAAGCAUUUUAUGCACCUGUUCUGUUUGAGAAUUAAAGAAUAAAAGAGUGACUCUCCAACACAAAUAUGGUUAGUUCUGUAAUUGGUUUAAUUAUAAUUGGAUAUUGGAUAAAAUUUCAAUGAUGUCCUAGUCUUAUUUACAUAUACAUUGAGUAAUGCUUAUUUACUGUCCACUAUGUGCAAUUUCUUUUGCAAGUGAACUGGGAGUUUUGUUCCUAUCUUUUACUUUAUGGCAUAUAGGGGGUUUGAGAUCAUAUAGGCUGAAUUUAAUGGCAUGUAAAUAUAUCUGAUCACAGCUAGUUAUUGAGUGAGGCUAUACGUAUAUUAUUAUGUAAAUCUAUGCAAUUGGAGGCUAUGCAAUUGGAGUAGGGAUAAAACGGUAGAAGGAUACUUCUUUUAACUUUAAUGGUCCGGUCACUGGUCUUAUUAUUAUUACAAUAGUAAAGCUUUGGAUGUCAAUGAGCAAUUUCCUGUUAAGUGAUAUAGGGAAGCCUGUUACUCGUUUUCUUCAUCUCUAUCUCUCAUAUCAUAUUAGGUUGUCAUUGGAAAUCUGUUAGCUUAAACUGCUCUAUUGUUUGAUUUCAGAUUAAUUGUUUCCCUUAUAUCUAGGCCAUGACUCUUGGAUUUUGUUCCAAAUUUGUUUCAGAGCCAUGCGUUUAGAAGUUUGUACUGUUUUAUGUUUGAUCAUGUGGAAGUGGGGAAAUCCCCAAAUUGGCGGGCUGCAUAUUUGGUUAAAAUAGGGUCUGCCUUUCUUGUUUUCAUGGGAUUGAUAGUGUCUAGACACGCCAUUAAGAAGGUAAUAGGAAAAAGAAAAAGCCUGUUGUCAAACUUGGAUCCAAUAAGCAUAGCUCAAUUUUCAGUUUCUUUGAAAGUAAAAAGUACCUUUUUGUAUUAUUUUGAUUCAUAUUACGGCACAACCUGUGGAAACUACUACAUAAAGAUUUGCAACCAGUUCCUUAUCCUUUAUCAAUCUGCUCCAAGUUUUGAUUUAGUCAUUAGUUGCAUGCAACAUGGUCUUGUCUGUGCAUAAGUUUGAGAGAAUCUUUCAAUUGGACAUAAUAGAUUGAUAAAAUGAUACCCCUCUCUCUAUGCCUCCCUCCCUCCCUCACUGUUGAUAUUCAGGUGUGAAAAGGAAACUGUUCUAUUCCCUAUACUCACUACUGGUAAUUCCUUUCAUUUCCAAUAAGGAUGGUUGUCCAUAUAUGGUAGUUGCAUACAUAUUUGAGUGGAAGGAAGAACCUGAUCUGUUUAUGUUUCUUAUGCAGUUCCCAUCCUUGGAGAAUGUCCUAAGACAUACUGGGGAACGAUAGUAAAUAAUAGGAACUCUCUUAACCUUAUGUCCAUAUGAGGUACAAAUUAAGCUUGAAUAUGUGACUCAAAUAUCAUCAACAGAGAAGAUUUUCAGGUUGCAGAGGUUGCCUGUGCUUUCAUUUUGUGUUGGGACAAAGAGGUAUAU
This is an RNA transcript of Rosa rugosa (rugosa rose), 4498 nucleotides long. RefSeq lists it as uncharacterized. The record is from RefSeq and is a predicted model, not a curated record. NCBI's taxonomy places the organism in Eukaryota, Viridiplantae, Streptophyta, Magnoliopsida, Rosales, Rosaceae. The transcript has 5 exons.